CAGAGUUUGAUCCUGGCUCAGAGCGAACGCUGGCGGCAGGCUUAACACAUGCAAGUCGAGCGGGCGUAGCAAUACGUCAGCGGCAGACGGGUGAGUAACGCGUGGGAACGUACCUUUUGGUUCGGAACAACACAGGGAAACUUGUGCUAAUACCGGAUAAGCCCUUACGGGGAAAGAUUUAUCGCCGAAAGAUCGGCCCGCGUCUGAUUAGCUAGUUGGUGAGGUAACGGCUCACCAAGGCGACGAACAGUUAGAAAUGACUGCUAAUACCGGAUGAUGUCUUCGGACCAAAGAUUUAUCGCCCAGGGAUGAGCCCGCGUAGGAUUAGGUAGUUGGUGGGGUAAUGGCCCACCAAGCCGACGAUCCUUAGCUGGUCUGAGAGGAUGAUCAGCCACACUGGGACUGAGACACGGCCCAGACUCCUACGGGAGGCAGCAGUGGGGAAUAUUGGACAAUGGGCGCAAGCCUGAUCCAGCCAUGCCGCGUGGAUGAUGAAGGCCCUAGGGUUGUAAAGCUCUUUUGUGCGGGAAGAUAAUGACGGUACCGCAAGAAUAAGCCCCGGCUAACUUCGUGCCAGCAGCCGCGGUAAUA
Molecule: ribosomal RNA, 591 nt
Filed under: uncultured bacterium
Lineage: Bacteria
Description: bacterial SSU rRNA
Rfam family: Bacterial small subunit ribosomal RNA
Source: RNAcentral